GACGAACGCUGGCGGCGUGCUUAACACAUGCAAGUCGAACGGUAAGGCCCUUCGGGGUACACGAGUGGCGAACGGGUGAGUAACACGUGGGUGAUCUGCCCUGCACUUCGGGAUAAGCCUGGGAAACUGGGUCUAAUACCGGAUAGGACCACUGCCUGCAUGGGUGGUGGUGGAAAGCUUUUGCGGUGUGGGAUGGGCCCGCGGCCUAUCAGCUUGUUGGUGGGGUGAUGGCCUACCAAGGCGACGACGGGCAGCCGGCCUGAGAGGGUGACCGGCAACACUGGGACUGAGAUACAGCCCAGACUCCUAGGGGAGGCAGCAGUGGGGAAUAUUGCACAAUGGGCGCAAGCCUGAUGCAGCGACGCCGCGUGAGGGAUGACGGCCUUCGGGUUGUAAACCUCUCUCAGCACCGACGAAGCGCAAGUGACGGUAGGUGCAGAAGAAGGACCGGCCAACUACGUGCCAGCCGCCGCGGUAA
RNAcentral lists this ribosomal RNA (478 nucleotides) under uncultured bacterium. RNAcentral's name for it is "partial 16S ribosomal RNA". It matches the Rfam family "Bacterial small subunit ribosomal RNA", at positions 28 to 523 of the family's 1533-position model. The record is from RNAcentral.